AUGGAUUGGGGUAUUGAGACGCUGGUUCGCAAGGCACAACACUCCCAGCCUGGACCUGAAGGGGGCCCUGCCAACCGGCUGUUUGUCCCCAACUCAGUCCGAUCCCGGGUCCUGGAAUGGGCUCAUUCCUUCAGGCUAACCUGUCAUCCUGGUUCCCACCGUACCCUAGCCUUCCUUCGACAACGUUUCUGGUGGCCCACAAUGGUUCCUGACGUCUCUGUCUUUGUCGCCGCAUGCACGGUGUGCGCCCAGAACAAGACUCUAUGGCAAGCUCCUUCUGGCCUUCUUCAGCCACUACCGGUCCCUCAUGGUCCCUGGUCCCAUAUCUCUCUGGACUUUGUCACUGGGCUUCCCCCGUCUGAUGGCAACACCGUCAUUCUUACAGUGGUGGAUCGGUUUUCUAAGGCCGCUCAUUUCAUCUCUCUCCCUAAACUACUCUCUGCCAAGGAAACAGCCCAGUUGAUGGUGCAGCACGUCUUCCGGAUCCAUGGUCUCCCGGUGGAUAUGGUUUCCAACCAGGGUCCUCAAUUCUCAUCUCUGUUUUGGAAGGCGUUCUGCACCCUUAUUGGAGCAUCAGCCAGGCUAUCCUCUGGAUUCCAUCCCCAAUCAAACGGCCAGUCGGAGCGAGCUAAUCAGGACCUGGAGACCACUUUAAGAUGCCUGGUCUCAACCAACCCCACUACCUGGAGCCGUCAACUGGUCUGGUUGGAGUAUUCCCGGAACACCCUUCCCUGUUCAGCCACAGGACUCCAUGAACUUUUGAGUGCUCCAUGGGGUAUCAGCCUCUGCUCUUCCCAGAACAAGAUCAGGAAGUCAAUGUACCCUCUCCCCAGAUGUUCAUUCGCCGUUGUCGACGUACCUGGAGAAGAGCUCGGGCGGCACUUCUCAAGACCAACUCCAGGUAUCGUCAACAAGCAGGUCGCCGUCGGACUCCAGCUCCCCGCUACCGCAUUGGGCAGAGGGUAUGGCUUUCCACAUGGGACCUGCCCCUUCGGGUGGAGCGCCUUUCAGUAG
Molecule: long non-coding RNA, 1014 nt
Filed under: Salmo trutta (river trout)
Lineage: Eukaryota; Metazoa; Chordata; Actinopteri; Salmoniformes; Salmonidae
Description: lncRNA (ENSSTUG00000032562.1)
Source: RNAcentral